CGAACUUGGUUCCAAGAAUGGU
This 22-nucleotide non-coding RNA is filed under the name Arabidopsis thaliana (thale cress). Lineage: Eukaryota; Viridiplantae; Streptophyta; Magnoliopsida; Brassicales; Brassicaceae. The record is from RNAcentral.